AUACGGAGGGUGCAAGCGUUGUUCGGAAUCACUGGGCGUAAAGGGCGCGCAGGCGGUUUGGUAAGUCAGAUGUGAAAGCCCACGGCUCAACCGUGGAAGUGCAUUUGAAACUGCCAGACUUGAGUACCAGAGGGGAACGUGGAAUUCCCGGUGUAGAGGUGAAAUUCGUAGAUAUCGGGAGGAAUACCGGUGGCGAAGGCGACUUUCUGGCUGGAUACUGACGCUGAGGCGCGAAAGCGUGGGGAGCAAACAGGAUUAGAAACCCCAGUAGUCC
Molecule: ribosomal RNA, 274 nt
Filed under: uncultured bacterium
Lineage: Bacteria
Description: partial 16S ribosomal RNA
Rfam family: Bacterial small subunit ribosomal RNA
Source: RNAcentral